This 437-nucleotide ribosomal RNA is filed under the name uncultured bacterium. Its description in RNAcentral is "bacterial SSU rRNA". It matches the Rfam family "Bacterial small subunit ribosomal RNA", at positions 68 to 519 of the family's 1533-position model. The record is from RNAcentral.
GAUGACGUUCCUUCGGGGAUGGAUUAGUGGCGAACGGGUGAGGAACACGUGAAGAAUCUGCCCUCCACUUUGGGAUAACUCCGGGAAACCGGGGCUAAUACCGAAUAUUGAAACAUAAGCGGCAUCGCUGAGUUUUGAAAGAAUUUCGGUGGAGGAUGACUUCGCGGCCUAUCAGCUUGUUGGUGAGGUAAUGGCUCACCAAGGCAACGACGGGUAGCCGGCCUGAGAGGGCGACCGGCCACACUGGGACUGAGACACGGCCCAGACUCCUACGGGAGGCAGCAGUGGGGAAUAUUGGGCAAUGGACGCAAGUCUGACCCAGCGACGCCGCGUGCGGGAUGAAGGCCUUCGGGUUGUAAACCGCUUUCAGCAGGGAAGAAGCGAAAGUGACGGUACCUGCAAAAGAAGCACCGGCUAACUAUGUGUCCGUGUCUGUG